UUGGGCGUAAAGAGCUCGUAGGCGGCUUGGUAAGUCGGAUGUGAAACCUCCAGGCUCAACCUGGAGUCGCCAUCCGAUACUGCCAUGGCUAGAGUCCGGUAGGGGACCAUGGAAUUCCUGGUGUAGCGGUGAAAUGCGCAGAUAUCAGGAGGAACACCGAUGGCGAAGGCGGUGGGCUGGGCCGGCACUGACGCUGAGGAGCGAAAGCGUGGGGAGCGAACAGGAUUAGAUACCCUGGUAGUCCACGCCGUAAACGUUGGGCACUAGGUGUGGGGCCUUAUCAACGGGUUCCGUGCCGUAGCUAACGCAUUAAGUGCCCCGCCUGGGGAGUACGGCCGCAAGGCUAAAACUCAAAGGAAUUGACGG
This 366-nucleotide ribosomal RNA is filed under the name uncultured Ferrimicrobium sp. RNAcentral describes it as "bacterial SSU rRNA". It matches the Rfam family "Bacterial small subunit ribosomal RNA", at positions 554 to 916 of the family's 1533-position model. The record is from RNAcentral. Lineage: Bacteria; Bacillati; Actinomycetota; Acidimicrobiia; Acidimicrobiales; Acidimicrobiaceae.